GGACCCAAUGUGGUAUUCCUCUGUCAAUGUCUUACAAGAAAAGCAAAAAAGUUACCAUAUCGACAUAUAUAUUAGAGGGUAGGGGGUGAUCACAGUUUUGGUACUUUAAGAUGUUAUGUUAUUAUAAAUUCAUUUCGCAAGGAACAAGGAUAGAUAAUUCAUUCAUUGCAUAUUUUUCAGGAGUUCUCAACUCUCUAUGAGGAAAGAGAAAAUAAAAAGUUGCAAAAAAUAAAAGAAAUUAUUUUGCAGUGAAAUUAAUUUACCUUCAAUAAACUAUUACAUUUUUCUGGAUAUUUUUUUUUUCCUAUUCACUUUCCUAUCUUGUAAGCAAAUGUAUUAAAUUGCGGUUUAUGCUCAGCUGAGUGAUUUUGGGUUUGUUUUUCAAUUUUUACUCACUUAAUUCCUACAAACUUUCUGUAAUCUGGUUUUCAGAGAUUUUUGAUGAUUUUUAUUUUGCCCAGGUUUGUCUUCUU
This 473-nucleotide unclassified non-coding RNA is filed under the name Hevea brasiliensis (rubber tree). The record is from RNAcentral. Lineage: Eukaryota; Viridiplantae; Streptophyta; Magnoliopsida; Malpighiales; Euphorbiaceae.